AUACUUACCUGGCAGGGGAGAUACCAUGAUCACGAAGGUGGUAAGGUGGUUUUCCCAGGGCGAGGCUUAUCCAUUGCACUCCUGACCCCUGCAGUUUCCCCAAAUGUGGGAAACCCGACUGCAUAAUUUGUGGUAGUGGGGGACUGCGUUCGCGCUUUCCCCUA
This is a small nuclear RNA of Saimiri boliviensis boliviensis (Bolivian squirrel monkey), 164 nucleotides long. RefSeq annotates it as U1 spliceosomal RNA. NCBI's taxonomy places the organism in Eukaryota, Metazoa, Chordata, Mammalia, Primates, Cebidae. The record is from RefSeq and is a predicted model, not a curated record.